AACUAGAGCCAACUAGAACCAGCGUGGUUGCCUUUGUGACCCCAGAUUUAAAAUCAGGAUUAUCACCAAACUUAAGAACAUACAGAGGGAUCAAAUGUGUUUCAAGUCGGGGAAGAAGGAGGCUGACUACUCCCUAUCCACUCGAGGUUUCUUACAUAAUUGCUUUCAUAGCCAAACAUAUAAAACACCCCGUAAGGACCUCAUGCCCAGCACGCCAUCGGCCACCGGCAGCUCUGUCCCUGGGCCCUGGGCAGGCAGCAUGGAGGGGAAAAUGGUCCCAGCAGCCCUUCUCCCGGGCCACAAAGGAGGAGCCCUCCAGCCUGUGGCCAGGCUGCUCAGGAGUCCAUGGAUCAGAGCCGGUGGCUGGAGGGAGCUGUGGAAGUGUCGCCGUGGUAACGGUGGGUGUUUGGAAACCUCCAGAUCUGGCACCCGUGAUGGACUCCUCGGGGCCAGCUCUGCUUUCUUGAGCAACCUGGAACCCGUCAUCCCCUCCGCCUGCACUGAGUCAUCCAACUCGGACCGCACCCUCCUGCACCCGGCCCAGAUCCCCGCUGGAGUGACAGCUGCCUCCUUGCUGCUCCCAUCCCUGUCUGCCUGCAUUUCCCUUGGGAUGCUUAACUCGUCCUGCGUUCUCGUCCGUUUCCUGUGCUCAUCCAUCUCCCCACAAAAAACACAGUCUGUAUCUGUGGUUCACUUAGGAAUCCGGCCAGGUAGUGGGCAGGUGCAGCGGGCCCUGGAGAGCCUUAGACAACAGAGAAGGGCCUCGUCCUCACACACACUGGGUGCUCAACACUGUGCACCGGACUGUCUGCAGCUGGACUGCAGACGGCAGACGUGCCAGCUCUUGGCCCCUUUGGCCUCAAUCGUACCAACAACCCAGGCUCAGGGAAGGAAGGAAAACCCAGGCUCAGGGAAGGAAGGAAACGCCAGCAGAGUGUGCCUCCCUCUGGGAAAAACACGGGAGAGCCUUCUGCAGUGAUUGAGGCAGUGAGAUGCUGAGCGCUCCACACAAGUGGGCUCUACCCAGUCAGCUCAGCAAUCGGAAAAUACCAAAUGGAAUGUCAGUUCCUAACGCGGAAAUGUCAGGAACACAGCCAGUCGGGGGCUCUCCAACAACACGUCGUAGCCUCACUUUCAGUGGUGUCCUGUAUGUGUUCGGCACGGAGCCCCGCGGGGCUGAGGCCCCUCCAUUUGAGGCCAGCGAUCUUGGGGUGUCCGGUCACGCCUCGGUCACCUCUGACCUUGGCACUGACAUCCUCACCAGAGUCAGAAGCAGCCCGUCACCAAGAGAGGCCGGCAGGGUGCGCUGCACUCGGACGCCCAAGACUCUCUGGCACCGGAGCCCAGGCUGUAAGAGUCUCCAACCAGAUAACGAGGUGCCACUGGGUGGAUGCACUGUCCCUGGGACCGUCUGUCUGACUAGAGCUGCGUGUGAGCCAGGAACACUGCACGGCACAGUGAAGUGACGCGGGGUGUCUGGGGGAAGAGUUGUCGCGUGGUCCUGACUGGCUGUGAGACCUGGGCUGUCUCACUUUGGGGAGCCUCGUUUCCUCCUCUAUAGACAUGUUCAUUCAUUCAUUCCCAGAUACUUCACAAGAGCAAACACGGCCCAGGUGGUGGGGAUGCCGUGAAGGGAAUAGACUGUAAGACGACUGAAUAAACAAGGAGCCUGAGGCAGGGUGGGGGCUGUUGGGAGGGGCGCAGGGCGGGGCUCUCCCCUCAGUGAGGUCAUGGAAGGUUUCCCAAGGGGAACUGUAGUUCAGCUGAGACUCACGUGAAAGAAGCCAGGAGGUUCGGGUGGGAUUGGGGAGCACUGGGGUUCCAGAUAAAGAAGCUUGUGGGGGGCCCCAAACAAGAGAGGACCACAGAGAGGACCCAGGGAGCCUGAGAAACGGAAGGCCUGUGGCCUGUGGCCUGCAGAGGGGCCAGGCCCCGUGUGCUCGGUCUCCUGGGAGAGCAGCCCACUGGGACACCGGAGGCUCGGGUCCCGCCUGCCGCGGGCAGCGCUGCUGUUGUAAACUGACGUGGAACCCUCUGCUCCUUAGCUUUUCCAGCUGAGAAACCCCUCCCCUGCCCGCAGGACGUGGGCCCGGCGAAGGAGUGUUUGCAGAGCCUUCGAAAAACUAAGAUGAGUUACAAGUGCAGGUCCCUGACGGCACCUUCCCCACUCACAGAUGAACCAGGCAAGCCCACCGGUGUCAGCCGGAGCCUGGGGAAGCCAUUACUUGGGAGUUUUUAAUCCCCCUCCCCCUAUCCCAGGGGAGCAGGAGAUAAAUAGCAGUUUCUUUCUGAUUGCUUUGGUGAUAUUUCAUUUCAGUUCCUAAUCAGAUUUUGCCUGAGGGAGAAAGUAGGCUAUUAAUAAAAGGUUUUUUUAAUUGUAAUAUUUGUGAUUAACCCUGCACAGUCCCCAGCUCUGGCCAAGGCGUUCUGUGGUUGACCAGAGAGAUCAGGUCUGACACACUGACCCUACUAUGUCCCCUGCUCCCCAACUUCCGGGGCCUCCCUGGGGCCCAUCCCAGCAAACCUGUGUGUGGCCUUCACAGUCUGUAUCUCACCAGCCUUGCCUGAACCACUCACCGCCCCCCCCCGCACCCCCCCGCAUCUUCCUCGGAGGGUUUCUGCCCUGACACCCAGUCCCACACUCUGCUCUUGGCAGCCCUUCCUAUCCAUUGCACCCCAACUUCCUCUCUCCCUCCGAGUGUCCAGCCCUCCAGGUGAUGACGUUCGCACAGGGUCCAGCACAACCUCCAUCUCCUCCACGCCCCUCCCCCCAGAACCCAAGCCAACACUGACCCUUCUCCUUUCUCACGGUGCAUGCACUUUGGAUUUUCUGAUAUUCACUUUAGCCUCUAAUUGCUGUUAUUAUUUUUGGAAAUGGAAAGGGCAUUUUCAGUUUGUAAAGGACUCUAUGAUGCUAUCAUCCGGCUCUCACAACAGCACUGGGUGGUGAUGGAGUCGGUGGGCUUAUCGUCUUCCCAUCUUAGAGAUGAGGAAGCUGGGGCCCGGGGGCUCCUGGACUUGCCCGGCACCGGGCAGGAGAGCGCUGAGCUUCACUAAGAAACACUCCUUGGAAGGAACCAGCUCCCACACCUCCUGGUCCUCCCUCUGCACCACAUCGGUCAUGUAGUAGAUUCGUAACUAGCACUUCUUGUCUUAAAAUAAAAACCCAUGUGCAACUUCAGGAAAAGUAACUCAAAUGGCAACAUUUUAUCGAUGCAAAUAAUUGUGAUUUGUACUAUUAGCUUCUCAGAUACAAAGAAUAUGCCUGCAGCAUUAUUUUUAUGUGUGUAGAGGGAGACUCGCACCCACUCCAUACAAACCUCCCCACCGCGGAGUCAUCGGGGUCAUCAGGGUUAACCACAAACAGCGCCGGGCCCCACGCCUCAGGGCAGGGGAUGGAAUGUGCUUCUCAGAACUGGCUCAGCAGGGGGACAUGCUCCGUGCUUGGCCAGCCCUAGGGUUCGCCCUGGGGAACCCCCGUCACCUGGUCACCUGGUGCCUGGAGGGUCUAGGUUGCCCAGCGCCACUACACAGCCAGGUGAAAGCCGCCAGGCGGGGUGGGGUGCCCAUCCAUCUGUCCAUCUGGACUCACAUGGGAGCUAGUUUCCCAAGAUCUUCAGGCCGCUUUGCCACCUGCAGAACUGCGUGUGUUUUGCCACGCCCCUGAUUCCUGUCUGGAAUCACCCAUGAUGACUCCAAACGCAGCCCAGUUCCUACCGGCCGAGCACACACUCGCAGGCACGUCCGCUUUCACAGCGUCCACGGCUGGUUUGCUCUGAAGCUGGUGCAUGUGAUCAGACCUUAAGCCACAGCCCUGCCCGUGCCCUUCCAUCCAGGCUACACUGCGGUCACUUUCUCGGCUAUCUGUCCUGACUUUUUCCCCAUUUGGGGAUGGAGAAACCGAGGCCCAAGGCAACUGAAGGCCUUUGCCAAGGACACAUGCAGCUCACAGUUUUCAAGUAUUCCAGCCUACCAACCUCUCCCCGGCCACCACCGAGAAGAAUGAAGCAGCCAUUCGGUUAUUGCUGCAAAGUUUGCAGAACUCCGAGUUCCCUUCUGCAAUAUUAAAGGGAAUUAUGCAACUUCAAA
Long non-coding RNA from Myotis lucifugus (little brown bat), 4089 nucleotides. RefSeq lists it as uncharacterized. Lineage: Eukaryota; Metazoa; Chordata; Mammalia; Chiroptera; Vespertilionidae. The record is from RefSeq and is a predicted model, not a curated record. The transcript has 2 exons.